Molecule: ribosomal RNA, 496 nt
Filed under: uncultured bacterium
Lineage: Bacteria
Description: partial 16S ribosomal RNA
Rfam family: Bacterial small subunit ribosomal RNA
Source: RNAcentral
GAUGAACGCUGGCGGCGUGCCUAAUACAUGCAAGUCGAGCGAACAGACGAGGAGCUUGCUCCUCUGACGUUAGCGGCGGACGGGUGAGUAACACGUGGAUAACCUACCUAUAAGACUGGGAUAACUUCGGGAAACCGGAGCUAAUACCGGAUAAUAUAUUGAACCGCAUGGUUCAAUAGUGAAAGACGGUUUUGCUGUCACUUAUAGAUGGAUCCGCGCCGCAUUAGCUAGUUGGUAAGGUAACGGCUUACCAAGGCAACGAUGCGUAGCCGACCUGAGAGGGUGAUCGGCCACACUGGAACUGAGACACGGUCCAGACUCCUACGGGAGGCAGCAGUAGGGAAUCUUCCGCAAUGGGCGAAAGCCUGACGGAGCCACGCCGCGUGAGUGAUGAAGGUCUUCGGAUCGUAAAACUCUGUUAUUAGGGAAGAACAAAUGUGUAAGUAACUAUGCACGUCUUGACGGUACCUAAUCAGAAAGCCACGGCUAACUACGU